UACGUAGGUGGCAAGCGUUGUCCGGAAUUAUUGGGCGUAAAGCGCGCGCAGGCGGUCCUUUAAGUCUGAUGUGAAAGCCCACGGCUCAACCGUGGAGGGUCAUUGGAAACUGGGGGACUUGAGUGCAGGAGAGAAGAGUGGAAUUCCACGUGUAGCGGUGAAAUGCGUAGAGAUCGGGAGGAAUACCAGUGGCGAAGGCGGCUUUCUGGACUGACACUGACGCUGAGGCGCGAAAGCCAGGGGAGCAAACGGG
RNAcentral lists this ribosomal RNA (253 nucleotides) under uncultured bacterium. RNAcentral describes it as "partial 16S ribosomal RNA". It matches the Rfam family "Bacterial small subunit ribosomal RNA", at positions 524 to 776 of the family's 1533-position model. The record is from RNAcentral.